Molecule: non-coding RNA, 223 nt
Filed under: marine bacterium AO1-C
Lineage: Bacteria; Pseudomonadati; Bacteroidota; Cytophagia; Cytophagales; Cytophagaceae
Also listed under: 1 other name
Source: RNAcentral
UUUCAUCAAACGGAAAAAGGUUGUACUUAACGGUGCAUAAAAAGGGAAUCUGGUGCAAAUCCAGAGCUGUCGCGCAACUGUAAGUAACUUUAGAGUCUAUACUCUCCAGGUUUUUGUCCUGAUACACCCAAGUAUCAGUCGUGUCACUGUUCCAAAAAAAGCAAUGGGAAGGCCGACAAAAGCUGUUACAAGUCAGGAGACCUGCCUUUGUCCGCUAUGGCUU